Molecule: ribosomal RNA, 487 nt
Filed under: uncultured bacterium
Lineage: Bacteria
Description: partial 16S ribosomal RNA
Rfam family: Bacterial small subunit ribosomal RNA
Source: RNAcentral
GACGAACGCUGGCGGCGUGCUUAACACAUGCAAGUCGAACGGGCUCUGUCUGGCUGUGUGCUGGGUGGGGUUAGUGGCGAACGGGUGAGUACUACGUGAGUAACCUGCCCUCUUCUUUGGGAUAAGCCUUGGAAACGGGGUCUAAUACUGGAUAUUCCUGUCUGGUCGCAUGGCUGGGUGGGGAAAGUUUUUUUCGGUGGGGGAUGGGCUCGCGGCCUAUCAGCUUGUUGGUGGGGUGAUGGCCUACCAAGGCGUCGACGGGUAGCCGGCCUGAGAGGGUGACCGGCCACACUGGGACUGAGAUACGGCCCAGACUCCUACGGGAGGCAGCAGUGGGGGAUAUUGCACAAUGGGCGCAAGCCUGAUGCAGCGACGCCGCGUGGGGGAUGACGGCUUUCGGGUUGUAAACCUCUUUCGUCGGGGGACAAGGCUCUGCUUGGUGGUGGGGUUGAGGGUACCCGGUGAAGAAGCGCCGGCUAACUACGUG